CGCGCUCACUCACAAUCGCACCGGCCCGGGGCUUCCCGCGCCGCCUCCGGUACGUGGGCGGGAGACACGCGGCCCACGCGGCCGGGCUCAGGCAGCUAUGGAGACGCGCACCACGCCGACACCUGCACGCGCACUGUGACACGCGCCAUUCUGACACACGUGUGCUCUCACACUCCCCGACACCGGAGCCGCACGCGCUCGCACCCACACUCACCUGCCGGGACCACGUGGGAGGACUGGAGGGGCUGAUCCUCACCGUGCAACCGCAGUAGCAACGAUGCUGGAAUUUUUUUUUAACUCCCUCGCUGACUGGGCUGGACUGUCAACUCCAUGGCGUCGGGAACCAAGUCUGAGAUGGCUCAGCAAUGCCUAGCACACAACUGGGGCUCCUUACGCCCCUGUCGAAUAAGGAGAAAAAAAAACAACAAACAAACAAACAAAAAAACACUGUUCCUUGCUGUGUCUUUGGUGAGUUCCUGGAGAUGGAGAUCCAGUAGCUACUAGAAACCAGUCUGGCCUUUGAUGUUGGCAGCGCCGUAUGUACACUGAAAAUACACACCCAGUAGUAGGGACUACAGGUAGUCAUCUUGGAUCUAAAAGGUAAGAACUUGAAAAUGACUCAAAGCAGGUAAAAGAACAUAAAAAGAAACCAGGAUCUGGUCCCAGUGUAUGAGUCCUGUUCUAAGCUCCAUCCAAAGCCAGCAUGUCCACCUCCUGUUCUUAACUACAUUCGUCAAUAAAUUACCUUUUUUUGCUUAGACAGGUUGUGUUUUCUGCUGUUUGCAGUUAAGAAAGUCCUAAGGCAUUUGAUCCUUUUAAUUUGUUAGAGUAAUAUGCUGUUAUAAACAUAGGAUGUAACUUAAAAAAAAUGAGAGGUAGAAACACAAUUGUACAACUUAACAAAUUGUUAUAAAACUCAACUAUUUAACUACUCUCCAGAAAUAGAAGCUUGUUAAUACCCCAGAAAAUCCCCAAUACUCUUUCCCAUCACAACUAUCUCACCACAAAGGUAACCAUUUCUCUGACUUUAAUAUAGUCACUUCCUUAUCUUUGUUUAACCACCUAAGUAUGAAUCUCCAAAUGUUGUUUAGUUUUGCCUGUACUUGAAUUUUAUAUACAUGGAAUUAUACAGUAUAUAUUCUUUGGUGACCAGCUUUUUUUGCUUAACAUUGUGUUUGAGAGUCAAUUAUUUUCUUAUGUGAAACUGCAGUUCAGUCAUUUUCAUUGUGGUAUAGAAUUCUAUCACAUGGAGAGAACAUUAUUUAUUUAUUCAUUCUGCUAUGUAUGAACAUUUGGGUUCAUGAACACCCAAAUCCCAGUUUGGGGCUACUACAAAUUAUGCCAUCAACAUUUUUACACUUGUCUCCCAGUGCACACAGGCACACAUUUUCUUAGAAGUGCAUUGCUGGGCCAUAGUCUGCAGGUAUUCAACAUUCUUAGGUAACUCCAAAUUGUCUUCAGAGGUGUUUGCACCAAUUUACACUCCCAACACCAAUCCCUCAGAGUCCUAUUGCUCUAUAUUUCAGCCUACAAUUGACAUUGUCAGCUUUUAAAUUUUAACCAUUCUCCUGGGGUUUUUAACUUGCAUUUCCCCAAUUGCUGAUGAGGGUGAGUACCUUUUCAUAUGUUUACUAGCCUUUCAGACUUCCUCUUGUAUAAUUGUUCAAGGCUCUUGCCCAAUUUUCUCCUGGGUUGUUUGUCUUCCUUUAUAUUGUUUUAUAUAAAAGUUGUUUUAUAAUCCUUUAUAUUCUGAAUGCAAGCUCUUUGUCAAUUAUCUACACUGAAAAAAUCUUCUCUUGUUCCAUAACUUCCCUUUCAUUCUUUAAAUGGUGUUUUUAAUGAACAUAAAUCCUUAAUUUAAUAUUUUUUAAAUGUUUAGUGCUUCUUUUAAGCCUAUUUCCCGCCUGCUCCACAGUGCCAUCCCAAGUCAGAUAUGUGUAUUUGAGUAGGUCUGUUUCUGAACUAUUUCAUCCCACUGGCUCUUCUGUCUUUGGUAGAUACCAAACUGUUUCAAUUACUGAAUCUAAAUAAGAAGUCUUGAUAGGUGGUAGAGCAAGUCCUCUCCCCUGAGCUUCGUUUUAUUUUGUUUUCUUCAAGAGAAUCUUGGCUCUUUGCAUUUCUUUAUCAAUUUUGGAAUCAAAUUUGGAAUUUGUGCUUGUUAAAUUACCUAAGAUCUAGUUGAGAUUUCUAGUUUUCAACAUGGAGGUCUUACAUUAUCUUUUGUUACAUUAAUUCUUAGAUAUUUUAUGUUUUUGACGCUACUGCUAAUGGUAAUUUACAUUUUGUGUUAGUCUUUGAAUAUGUAACGGUAAAUCUCAAGAGAAUCCCUGUCCCCAAGAACUUCCAAUCCCUUGGGUUUGCAGACAGACAUAUUAAAUGUUUUAAUGUAAAGUGAAAUGGACUAGUUAUGCUAAGGUGGGCAGAAGUUACCAUGGAAACACAAAUGGGAUGGAUUCACCCAUUCUGUGGGGUCAUGGGCUGGAAGAAAGGGAAAGGCAUUCUAAGUGUUAAAAAUAGGUAGGAAUCAGCUGGUGUGACUACAGAGUGAGGCAAAGAGGGUAAGAGCACACAUUUUAUAUACACAUUUCAGAAAGGAUGUUUACGUGGAACACUUCUUGCCUCAGUGUUAAAUGAGGUGCCAAAACAAUAGAAUCAGAUGUCAGCAUGGGUGUGAAGCAAAUUCUCCUAUGGGCAUAAUUUACAAAAGGAAUGUGAGCAAACUAGUUCUAAGACUCCUGGACCCAUUUAGCCAGAUAAGGUUAUUAAAUGCUGUAAAAGUGUGAGUAAAGAAAGGAUUUGAGAAAAGUUUCUUUGGAGACAGCUGUUGCUGUCAGUACUGCCAAGCAAAUGAGACAUCAUGGGGGAUACUGCCUCCUUCUCCUCUGGUCUAAUAGUGAUGAGAUCUUCCAUGAGACCAUUCACAGAGUUUGAAAUGUGUUCCCUGCAAAGGGCUGGUGCUUGAUGUCCACCUGAGAGAGUGAAAGCAACCUGUGGCUGUCUUGGGAUGGAUGAUCAUUGCUAGAGUUUGUCAAAGGAAGUAAGAGGUAUGUGGGUGUUUCCCAUGGAGCAAAUGUGCACCACAUGGGAAACAGGGCAGGCUGACCCCAAUUGUCUGGGGCCUUUUACAGUAGGACUAAAUAGAAGGGCAGAGGGCCCUGACAAUAAGAAAUUGGAUAGAGAUAAAAAUCCAAUUUUGAGAGUCACAUGUGACUGCCUAGAAUAAAGGUACAUCCAUCCAGGUCAUUGAUACCAUAAUUAAGAAAUCUUCAAACAACUCACGGAGGGUCACCAGCUUCAUGCUUUAGUUGAUCUGUUAUAAAAAGUGAGCUAGCUUCUCCUAGUUUAUAUACCAGUAGCAAUCUGGUACUAAUUGUUCAGAUUAUACAAAGUAACUAGUAACCAGUAUGGAAAUAGCCUAAGCACUCUUGGAACCAGGUCCUCCAUCUAAGUCACUUCAUGACUAGCAUCCUGAGCCAUUAGCAAGUCAGUGAUAUUUUUCAGUUGUAUUGUCCAUAUAUCUUUCUCAAUCAGCCUCUAUUAAAAAGAGAGAGAGAGAGAGAGAGAGAGAGAGAGAUGUGCACUAGGCACCAGGAGAGAAAGAUUCAAGUUUAGCCACCUGCCAGAUUCAGAGAGUUUGAAGGCUACUAACAAGUAUGAACUUCCCCAUUCUUGACUUGUCCUGCUUUGGGCAGCUUUCACCCAGGUGGGGUCUGAUGCAGCUGCUGGUACACAGGAAGGAAGGAAGUGGGGACAGAGCAGAAGUCUACCACUUCACAUAUGGAGAGAACUCUCACUGUUUGAAGGGAGAUUGAAGCAUUUAAUUAAUCUCUUGAGUGGACACAUUCUAAUUACCAAAUUAGAUCUGUAACUUAGAGUGAGUAGGACUGCUCAUUAAGAAGUCUUGGGAUCUGUCCAAGUUUGCAUUGGAGGGCAGGAAAAAUAAAAUAAAUUUUCUGAAUAAAAAUAUUAAGGGCUAGUAUGUAACAAAAGCAGAUACCCCCCCAGAGUGUAAAGUACAUGUAAGAAAUGAAAAGCAAUACAAUUAUGACUGGAUCUAAGAUUUACAGAGGGAAUACAAGGAUUGAUGAAGUAAACUGGGCUCUGUUCAGGAGCUCAGCAAAGACUUUCUAUGCCAUGCUAAGGACUCUGGACUUCAAAGGAAAUGAAGCAAUACUGAGGAGUUUGUGCAAGAGAGUUUAAUAGUUAUUGGUUAUUUACUGUGUUCUAGGCUCUGUCAGUGGUUCACAUGAAUUAUCACAUUGUACCCUGCUUCAUGUCAGACUAGCCAUGCCAGAAAAAGUAACACAGAGUCACAUUUCUGAGUCUAUUUUUAAUUUUUUUUUAAGAUUUGUAUUUAUUUGAAAGAGAGAGCACAAACGGGGAGGAGCAGAGGGUAGGGAGAGGGACAAGCAG
This is a long non-coding RNA of Canis lupus familiaris (dog), 4413 nucleotides long. RefSeq lists it as uncharacterized. Lineage: Eukaryota; Metazoa; Chordata; Mammalia; Carnivora; Canidae. The record is from RefSeq and is a predicted model, not a curated record. The transcript is spliced from 3 exons.